ACGGGUGAGUAACGCGUGGGAACGUACCCUUUGGUCUGGAAUAACUCAGGGAAACUUGAGCUAAUACCGGAUAAGCCCUUUUUGGGGAAAGAUUUAUCGCCGAAGGAUCGGCCCGCGUCCGAUUAGCUAGUUGGUGUGGUAAUGGCGCACCAAGGCGACGAUCGGUAGCUGGUCUGAGAGGAUGAUCAGCCACACUGGGACUGAGACACGGCCCAGACUCCUACGGGAGGCAGCAGUGGGGAAUAUUGGACAAUGGGCGCAAGCCUGAUCCAGCCAUGCCGCGUGAGUGAUGAAGGCCUUAGGGUUGUAAAGCUCUUUCACUCGCGACGAUAAUGACGGUAGCGAGAGAAGAAGCCCCGGCUAACUUCGUGCCAGCAGCCGCGGUAAUACGAAGGGGGCUAGCGUUGCUCGGAAUCACUGGGCGUAAAGCGCACGUAGGCGGAUCUUUAAGUCAGGGGUGAAAUCCCAAGGCUCAACCUUGGAACUGCCUUUGAUACUGGGGAUCUCGAGUCCGGAAGAGGUUGGUGGAACUGCGAGUGUAGAGGUGAAAUUCGUAGA
This 558-nucleotide ribosomal RNA is filed under the name uncultured bacterium. RNAcentral's name for it is "bacterial SSU rRNA". It matches the Rfam family "Bacterial small subunit ribosomal RNA", at positions 102 to 694 of the family's 1533-position model. The record is from RNAcentral.